AAAGUUUUGUUUAAUUUUAUUUUUAUUGUAUGUGUUUCAUUGUUAUUCUAAAGUUUUAUUCUUGCUUAUUUAUUCACUUUUUCUUUAUAUUAUAUAUAAGUUUUGUUAAACUAAAUGUUCUGUUUAUUAUAGUAAUUAAAUUUAAUUAUCAAAUUAUUUUGGAAUUAGUAAUUGAUAAAGUAUUGGCAUAUUUCGUGCCAGCAGCCGCGGUUAGACGAUUAAUGCAAGUGAAUAUUUUUGGUUAAUAUAGUUAUAAUUUUUUUUGAGUUUUAGUAAUUAAUUAUUGGGUGAAAUUUUAUUUUUUUUUUUGCUCUGAUUUUAGAAUCUGUGAAACUUAUAAAAUAAACUAGGAUUAGAUACCCUAUUAUUUUAAGUGUAAAUUUGUUUUUACUAGGGUAGUAUAAGUUAAGAUCUUUAAACCCAAAGAAUUUGGCGGUAUUUUAUUCCAUUCAGAGGAACCUAUCUCGUAAUUGAUAGUACACGAUUUACUUUACUUGAUUUAUUUGUUUGUAUAUCUCCGUUAUCAGAAGAUCUUAUUGGAGGAAAAAUUUUCUUGUUUUUUUAUUAAAUUUUAUUUCAGGUCAAGGUGCAGCUUAUAAUUAAGAGUUUGAUGGGUUACAAUAAAUUUUUUUUAUUAUGAAUUUAAUUUUGUAAUAUUUUAAUGAAGGUGGAUUUGAUAGUAAUUUAAAUUAUUUAAUUUAAUUGAUAUUGGCUCUAAGGUGUGUACACAUCGCCCGUCGCUCUCGUUAUUGAUUAAUAAUUAUUUUCAUUUAAUAUGAGAUAAGUCGUAACAUAGUAGGUGUACUGGAAAGUGUAUCUAGUAAGUUUAUA
This 831-nucleotide non-coding RNA is filed under the name Gastrimargus marmoratus. RNAcentral describes it as "12S ribosomal RNA". The stretch from base 394 to 820 matches the Rfam family "Microsporidia small subunit ribosomal RNA", at positions 752 to 1303 of the family's 1311-position model. Lineage: Eukaryota; Metazoa; Arthropoda; Insecta; Orthoptera; Acrididae. The record is from RNAcentral.